This is a long non-coding RNA of Brassica napus (rape), 1098 nucleotides long. RefSeq lists it as uncharacterized. The transcript is spliced from 3 exons. NCBI's taxonomy places the organism in Eukaryota, Viridiplantae, Streptophyta, Magnoliopsida, Brassicales, Brassicaceae. The record is from RefSeq and is a predicted model, not a curated record.
AGAAAAAAAUAUGUUGCAAAAGAAAUACAUUCUCUAUAAUGGAUGUUUUAAAGGUCUAAUGAGAAGCACAUGUAUGGGAAGCUCUCAUGAAAGGUGUUCUUAAAGAUCAAUACACGACCUCACAAAAGCUCAACCGAGGAAUCUAAGCUGACGGACAUCGCUUCAAGAAGAUAAGACACCGUCUUCAAUCAAUCCAAAAGAACUUCGAACUUCAUGAAUGAACGAGAAUCAUUUUUAUUGAUAAUGAUUAGCUUGAAGAUGAAACAACCUAACUGAAAGAAUAUCAAUUUUUUCAUUAACCACAGGAGAAAGAAGAUUUCGAAGGAUCAUAACGAGAGUCAGUGGAGCAAGGAAGGAUAGAAGCAACGAUCGAACCGAGCCGGCGUAACGACGCUAACUAAACCGACGUUUCCCAGAGACGAAGCCGGUGAAGCAGUGCUAUGGAAGCCAGCGCUUCCCAGAAGCAGAAGCCCGAUACACGGGAGUCGAAGCCGGAUGAAGACCGGUGAGCAAAAGCUCCACCCCUGUAUACACUGGCACACAGAUGAUCGUGUUUAACUGAAGUAUUAGGCGCAGCGAUCUGAUCCCAAAACAGAGGAGAAUUACGAACGUUGCUUACACUGUUGGAACUAGUGGUGUGGUGUUCAACUCGGGUUUAGACUUCAGAACAAGAGAGCUGCAUAGUAACUGUUGUGGCAGAUCAGAGAUCAAUGCUCUCAAGUCAUCGGUACGAAACUUAGGUCACACGAAAUGAGGAAACGAGGAACGGUACAGUGUCACACUUCUAUUUAACCGGUGGCAGCUCACACAAAACUAAAACCGAUUCGUUUUGUUUUUGAUGUCUUCAACCUAAUUAGAGCUCUAUCCCUUCCCUCGAGCACAAAUGGCAUUCAAUCCAGAUACAUUUAAAACCACUGAACUUACUACUACUAAGAGAAUUCAAAGAUCUCAACAUGUCAUACUCUAGUCAAUGUGGACAGAGAAAAAAAUAGUAAUGUUGAUUACAUAUCACGCGAGUCCAAACUAAUCUGUAUACAUAACAGAAUCUUGUCUUAUUGAAAUAGAAUAAUAAAGAAUCAACAAAAGAUAUGUUUCUUA